Rattus norvegicus (Norway rat) is the source of this 69-nucleotide non-coding RNA. The record is from Rfam. Lineage: Eukaryota; Metazoa; Chordata; Mammalia; Rodentia; Muridae.
GGAGAUUUAGCUCAGUGGUAGAGCGCUUGCCUAGCAAGCGCAAGGCCCUGGGUUCAGUCCCCAGCUCCG